RNAcentral lists this ribosomal RNA (2603 nucleotides) under Escherichia coli. RNAcentral describes it as "bacterial LSU rRNA". The stretch from base 1 to 1670 matches the Rfam family "Bacterial large subunit ribosomal RNA", at positions 1252 to 2925 of the family's 2925-position model. Lineage: Bacteria; Pseudomonadati; Pseudomonadota; Gammaproteobacteria; Enterobacterales; Enterobacteriaceae. The record is from RNAcentral.
GAAGGUGUGCUGUGAGGCAUGCUGGAGGUAUCAGAAGUGCGAAUGCUGACAUAAGUAACGAUAAAGCGGGUGAAAAGCCCGCUCGCCGGAAGACCAAGGGUUCCUGUCCAACGUUAAUCGGGGCAGGGUGAGUCGACCCCUAAGACGAGGCCGAAAGGCGUAGUCGAUGGGAAACAGGUUAAUAUUCCUGUACUUGGUGUUACUGCGAAGGGGGGACGGAGAAGGCUAUGUUGGCCGGGCGACGGUUGUCCCGGUUUAAGCGUGUAGGCUGGUUUUCCAGGCAAAUCCGGAAAAUCAAGGCUGAGGCGUGAUGACGAGGCACUACGGUGCUGAAGCAACAAAUGCCCUGCUUCCAGGAAAAGCCUCUAAGCAUCAGGUAACAUCAAAUCGUACCCCAAACCGACACAGGUGGUCAGGUAGAGAAUACCAAGGCGCUUGAGAGAACUCGGGUGAAGGAACUAGGCAAAAUGGUGCCGUAACUUCGGGAGAAGGCACGCUGAUAUGUAGGUGAAGUCCCUCGCGGAUGGAGCUGAAAUCAGUCGAAGAUACCAGCUGGCUGCAACUGUUUAUUAAAAACACAGCACUGUGCAAACACGAAAGUGGACGUAUACGGUGUGACGCCUGCCCGGUGCCGGAAGGUUAAUUGAUGGGGUUAGCGGUAACGCGAAGCUCUUGAUCGAAGCCCCGGUAAACGGCGGCCGUAACUAUAACGGUCCUAAGGUAGCGAAAUUCCUUGUCGGGUAAGUUCCGACCUGCACGAAUGGCGUAAUGAUGGCCAGGCUGUCUCCACCCGAGACUCAGUGAAAUUGAACUCGCUGUGAAGAUGCAGUGUACCCGCGGCAAGACGGAAAGACCCCGUGAACCUUUACUAUAGCUUGACACUGAACAUUGAGCCUUGAUGUGUAGGAUAGGUGGGAGGCUUUGAAGUGUGGACGCCAGUCUGCAUGGAGCCGACCUUGAAAUACCACCCUUUAAUGUUUGAUGUUCUAACGUUGACCCGUAAUCCGGGUUGCGGACAGUGUCUGGUGGGUAGUUUGACUGGGGCGGUCUCCUCCUAAAGAGUAACGGAGGAGCACGAAGGUUGGCUAAUCCUGGUCGGACAUCAGGAGGUUAGUGCAAUGGCAUAAGCCAGCUUGACUGCGAGCGUGACGGCGCGAGCAGGUGCGAAAGCAGGUCAUAGUGAUCCGGUGGUUCUGAAUGGAAGGGCCAUCGCUCAACGGAUAAAAGGUACUCCGGGGAUAACAGGCUGAUACCGCCCAAGAGUUCAUAUCGACGGCGGUGUUUGGCACCUCGAUGUCGGCUCAUCACAUCCUGGGGCUGAAGUAGGUCCCAAGGGUAUGGCUGUUCGCCAUUUAAAGUGGUACGCGAGCUGGGUUUAGAACGUCGUGAGACAGUUCGGUCCCUAUCUGCCGUGGGCGCUGGAGAACUGAGGGGGGCUGCUCCUAGUACGAGAGGACCGGAGUGGACGCAUCACUGGUGUUCGGGUUGUCAUGCCAAUGGCACUGCCCGGUAGCUAAAUGCGGAAGAGAUAAGUGCUGAAAGCAUCUAAGCACGAAACUUGCNAAGCUCUUGAUCGAAGCCCCGGUAAACGGCGGCCGUAACUAUAACGGUCCUAAGGUAGCGAAAUUCCUUGUCGGGUAAGUUCCGACCUGCACGAAUGGCGUAAUGAUGGCCAGGCUGUCUCCACCCGAGACUCAGUGAAAUUGAACUCGCUGUGAAGAUGCAGUGUACCCGCGGCAAGACGGAAAGACCCCGUGAACCUUUACUAUAGCUUGACACUGAACAUUGAGCCUUGAUGUGUAGGAUAGGUGGGAGGCUUUGAAGUGUGGACGCCAGUCUGCAUGGAGCCGACCUUGAAAUACCACCCUUUAAUGUUUGAUGUUCUAACGUUGACCCGUAAUCCGGGUUGCGGACAGUGUCUGGUGGGUAGUUUGACUGGGGCGGUCUCCUCCUAAAGAGUAACGGAGGAGCACGAAGGUUGGCUAAUCCUGGUCGGACAUCAGGAGGUUAGUGCAAUGGCAUAAGCCAGCUUGACUGCGAGCGUGACGGCGCGAGCAGGUGCGAAAGCAGGUCAUAGUGAUCCGGUGGUUCUGAAUGGAAGGGCCAUCGCUCAACGGAUAAAAGGUACUCCGGGGAUAACAGGCUGAUACCGCCCAAGAGUUCAUAUCGACGGCGGUGUUUGGCACCUCGAUGUCGGCUCAUCACAUCCUGGGGCUGAAGUAGGUCCCAAGGGUAUGGCUGUUCGCCAUUUAAAGUGGUACGCGAGCUGGGUUUAGAACGUCGUGAGACAGUUCGGUCCCUAUCUGCCGUGGGCGCUGGAGAACUGAGGGGGGCUGCUCCUAGUACGAGAGGACCGGAGUGGACGCAUCACUGGUGUUCGGGUUGUCAUGCCAAUGGCACUGCCCGGUAGCUAAAUGCGGAAGAGAUAAGUGCUGAAAGCAUCUAAGCACGAAACUUGCNNNNNNNNNNNNCCGAGAUGAGUUCUCCCUGACCCUUUAAGGGUCCUGAAGGAACGUUGAAGACGACGACGUUGAUAGGCCGGGUGUGUAAGCGCAGCGAUGCGUUGAGCUAACCGGUACUAAUGAACCGUGAGGCUUAACCUU